AUUGAACGCUGGCGGCAGGCCUAACACAUGCAAGUCGAGCGGAUGAAGGGAGCUUGCUCCUGGAUUCAGUGGCGGACGGGCGAGUAAUGCCUAGGAAUCUGCCUGGUCGUGGGGGAUAACGUCCGGAAACGGGCCCUAAGACCGCAUCCGUCCAGAGGGAGAAAGUGAGGGAUCUUCGGACCUAGCGCGUCCAGAUGACCCUAGGUCGCAUUAGCUAGUUGGUGAGGUAAAGGCCUACCAAGGCGACGAUCCGUAACUGGUCUGAGAGGAUGAUCAGUCACACUGGAACUGAGACACGGUCCAGACUCCUACGGGAGGCAGCAGUGGGGAAUAUUGGACAAUGGGCGAAAGCCUGAUCCAGCCAUGCCGCGUGUGUGAAGAAGGUCUUCGGAUUGUAAAGCACUUUAAGUUGGGAGGAAGGGCAGUAAGUGAAUACCUUGCUGUUUUGACGUUACCAACAGAGUAAGCACCGGCUAACUUCGUG
Molecule: ribosomal RNA, 484 nt
Filed under: uncultured bacterium
Lineage: Bacteria
Description: partial 16S ribosomal RNA
Rfam family: Bacterial small subunit ribosomal RNA
Source: RNAcentral